GGCCUCGUCGCCAAGUGGUAAGGCAACGGUUUGCAAAACCGUCAUCCCCGGUUCAAAUCCGGGCGAGGCCU
Molecule: transfer RNA, 71 nt
Filed under: Gemmata massiliana
Lineage: Bacteria; Pseudomonadati; Planctomycetota; Planctomycetia; Gemmatales; Gemmataceae
Also listed under: 4 other names
Rfam family: tRNA
About the family: Transfer RNA (tRNA) molecules are approximately 80 nucleotides in length. Their secondary structure includes four short double-helical elements and three loops (D, anti-codon, and T loops).
Source: RNAcentral